Molecule: ribosomal RNA, 947 nt
Filed under: uncultured bacterium
Lineage: Bacteria
Also listed under: 1 other name
Description: bacterial SSU rRNA
Rfam family: Bacterial small subunit ribosomal RNA
Source: RNAcentral
GGAUCCAGACUUUGAUCAUGGCUCAGGAUGAACGCUGGCGGCAUGCCUAAGACAUGCAAGUCGAACGAAGUGGCCCAUUGAAGAUUGAGUGCUUGCACGAUUUCGGAUUUGGAUUCCCACUUAGUGGCAGACGGGUGAGUAACACGUGGGUAACCUACCCUGAAGACUGGGAUAACUACUGGAAACGGUAGCUAAUACCGGAUAACUCAUAAUUAGAUAACUAGUUAUGCUAAAAGGAGCGUUUGCUUCACUUCAGGAUGGGCUUGCGUUGUAUUAGCUAGUUGGUGGGGCAAUGGCCUACCAAGGCAACGAUGCAUAUCCGAGCUGAGAGGCUGAUCGGACACAUUGGGACUGAGACACGGCCCAGACUCCUACGGGAGACAGCAGUUAGGAAUAUUCGUCAAUGGGGGAAACCCUGAACGAGCAAUGCCGCGUGAGUGAUGAAGGUCUUAUUGAUCGUAAAACUCUGUUGUAAAGGAAGAACUCUUAUCAUAGGAAAUGAUGAUAAGUUGACGGUACUUUACCAGAAAGCCCCGGCUAACUACGUGCCAGCAGCCGCGGUAAUACGUAGGGGGCGAGCGUUAUCCGGAUUUAUUGGGCGUAAAGCGUGUGUAGGCGGUUUGUUAAGUAUAAGAUUAAAGCCCGGGGCUUAACUCCGGUUCGUCUUAUAAACUGGCAGGCUUGAGUGUGGUAGAGGCAAGUGGAAUUUCUAGUGUAGCGGUUAAAUGCGUAGAUAUUAGAAGGAACACCAGUGGCGAAGGCGGCUUGCUGGGCCAUUACUGACGCUGAGACACGAAAGCGUGGGGAGCAAAUAGGAUUAGAUACCCUAGUAGUCCACGCCGUAAACGAUGAGUACUAAGUGUCGGGAAACCGGUGCUGAAGUUAACACAUUAAGUACUCCGCCUGAGUAGUACGGUUGCAAGGCUGCAACUCAAAGGAAUUGACGG